GAUGAACGCUGGCGGCGUGCCUAAUACAUGCAAGUCGAGCGAACGGACGAGAAGCUUGCUUCUCUGAUGCUAGCGGCGGACGGGUGAGUAACACGUGGAUAACCUACCUAUAAGACUGGGAUAACUUCGGGAAACCGGAGCUAAUACCGGAUAAUAUUUUGAACCGCAUGGUUCAAAAGUGAAAGACGGUCUUGCUGUCACUUAUAGAUGGAUCCGCGCUGCAUUAGCUAGUUGGUAAGGUAACGGCUUACCAAGGCAACGAUGCAUAGCCGACCUGAGAGGGUGAUCGGCCACACUGGAACUGAGACGCGGUCCAGACUCCUACGGGAGGCAGCAGUAGGGAAUCUUCCGCAAUGGGCGAAAGCCUGACGGAGCAACGCCGCGUGAGUGAUGAAGGUCUUCGGAUCGUAAAACUCUGUUAUUAGGGAAGAACAUAUGUGUAAGUAACUGUGCACAUCUUGACGGUACCUAAUCAGAAAGCCACGGCUAACUACGUG
RNAcentral lists this ribosomal RNA (497 nucleotides) under uncultured bacterium. RNAcentral describes it as "partial 16S ribosomal RNA". It matches the Rfam family "Bacterial small subunit ribosomal RNA", at positions 28 to 507 of the family's 1533-position model. The record is from RNAcentral.